CCUACGGGUGGCAGCAGUGAGGAAUAUUGGUCAAUGGGCGGAAGCCUGAACCAGCCAAGUCGCGUGAGGGAAGACGGUCCUAUGGAUUGUAAACCUCUUUUGCAGGGGAGCAAGGCGCGGUACGUGUACCGCGAAGGAGAGUACCCUGAGAAAAAGCAUCGGCUAACUCCGUGCCAGCAGCCGCGGUAAUACGGAGGAUGCGAGCGUUAUCCGGAUUUAUUGGGUUUAAAGGGUGCGCAGGCGGACUGUUAAGUCAGCGGUAAAAUGUCGGUGCUCAACACCGGCCGGCCGUCGAAACUGGCAGCCUUGAGUGAGCGAGAAGUAUGCGGAAUGCGUGGUGUAGCGGUGAAAUGCAUAGAUAUCACGCAGAACUCCGAUUGCGAAGGCAGCAUACCGGCGCUCAACUGACGCUCAGGCACGAAAGCGCGGGUAUCGAACAGGCUUAGAUACCCUGGUAGUC
Molecule: ribosomal RNA, 460 nt
Filed under: uncultured bacterium
Lineage: Bacteria
Description: partial 16S ribosomal RNA
Rfam family: Bacterial small subunit ribosomal RNA
Source: RNAcentral